AAGGAAUAUUGGACAAUGGGCGGAAGCCUGAUCCAGCCAUGCCGCGUGCAGGAAGACGGCGCUCAGCGUUGUAAACUGCUUUUGGGUGGGAACAAUAACCUCUACGAGUUAGGGGCUUGAGGGUACCAUCAGAAUAAGCACCGGCUAACUCCGUGCCAGCAGCCGCGGUAAUACGGAGGGUGCAAGCGUUAUCCGGAAUCACUGGGUUUAAAGGGUGCGUAGGCGGUUUGAUAAGUCAGUUGUGAAAUUCCCCGGCUUAACCGGUGGGACUGCGAUUGAUACUGUCAGACUUGAAUCAGGUUGAGGUAGGCGGAAUGUGGCAUGUAGCGGUGAAAUGCAUAGAUAUGCCAUAGAACACCGAUUGCGAAGGCAGCUUGCUGGACCUAGAUUGACGCUGAGGCACGAAAGCGUGGGGAGCAAAC
Molecule: ribosomal RNA, 422 nt
Filed under: uncultured bacterium
Lineage: Bacteria
Description: bacterial SSU rRNA
Rfam family: Bacterial small subunit ribosomal RNA
Source: RNAcentral